UAGUGUGUCGAUGAAGAGCGCAGCAAACUGUGUGAAUUAAUGUGAACUGCAUCCUGCCAUGAACAUCGACAUCUUGAUUGCACAUUGCGGCCAUGGGUUAGCCUGUGGCCACGCCUGUCCGAGAGUCGGCUUACAAACUAUCACGACGCUCAAUUGGUCGUGGCUUGAGAGUCUGCCAGCUGACGUGGUUCCCUACGCGCUACGGCGCACGAGGGUGUCAGAACAAUGGCUUCUCUCCAAUUAACCAGUAAGCACCCUUUUUCAGUUGUGUGGAUGAAGUCGUGGCUCAGUGUUCAAUUUAUAGCACGCAUCGUUCAUACUCCUGUAGACUGGUGUCUGGUUUUUUUUAUUAAGCAUGUCAUUAUGACUUGCUAUUCCUGACCUCGGAUCAGAACGUGAAUACCCGCUGAACUUAAGCAUAUCACUAAGCGGAGG
RNAcentral lists this ribosomal RNA (435 nucleotides) under Transversotrema chevrarum. RNAcentral's name for it is "eukaryotic LSU rRNA". The stretch from base 4 to 128 matches the Rfam family "5.8S ribosomal RNA", at positions 29 to 154 of the family's 154-position model. The record is from RNAcentral. Lineage: Eukaryota; Metazoa; Platyhelminthes; Trematoda; Azygiida; Transversotrematidae.